This 253-nucleotide ribosomal RNA is filed under the name uncultured bacterium. Its description in RNAcentral is "partial 16S ribosomal RNA". It matches the Rfam family "Bacterial small subunit ribosomal RNA", at positions 524 to 776 of the family's 1533-position model. The record is from RNAcentral.
UAUGAAGGGGGCUAGCGUUGCUCGGAAUCACUGGGCGUAAAGCGCACGUAGGCGGAUUGUUAAGUCAGGGGUGAAAUCCUGGAGCUCAACUCCAGAACUGCCUUUGAUACUGGCGAUCUUGAGUCCGGGAGAGGUGAGUGGAACUGCGAGUGUAGAGGUGAAAUUCGUAGAUAUUCGCAAGAACACCAGUGGCGAAGGCGGCUCACUGGCCCGGUACUGACGCUGAGGUGCGAAAGCGUGGGGAGCAAACAGG